Molecule: ribosomal RNA, 497 nt
Filed under: uncultured bacterium
Lineage: Bacteria
Description: partial 16S ribosomal RNA
Rfam family: Bacterial small subunit ribosomal RNA
Source: RNAcentral
GACGAACGCUGGCGGCGUGCCUAAUACAUGCAAGUUGAGCGCUGAAGGCUGGCUCUUGUACCAACUGGAUGAGCCGCGCACGGGUGAGUAACGCGUGGGGCAUCUGCCUUUGAGCGGGGGAACACAUUUGGAAACGAAUGCUAAUACCGCAUAAACACUUUAUACACAAGUUUUAAGUUUGAAAGACGCAAUUGCAUCACUCAAAGAUGACCCCGCGGUGUAUUAGGUAGUUGGUGAGGUACAGGCGCAACAAGGCGAGGAUACAUAGCCGAACUGAGAGGGUGGGCAGCCGCAUUGAGACUGAGACACGGCCCAAAGGCCCACAGGAAGCAGCAAGAGGGAAACGUCAGCCAUGGGCGAAAGUCUUACCGAGAAACGCGGCAGGAUGAAAGAAGGUUGUCGGGUCGUAAAACACGGUUGGUAGGGAAGAACGCUGGUGAGAGUGGAAAGCUCAGCAAGUGACGGUAACUACCCAGAAAGCAACGGCUAACUACGUG